This is a long non-coding RNA of Labrus mixtus (cuckoo wrasse), 1292 nucleotides long. RefSeq lists it as uncharacterized. The record is from RefSeq and is a predicted model, not a curated record. The transcript has 3 exons. Lineage: Eukaryota; Metazoa; Chordata; Actinopteri; Labriformes; Labridae.
ACGGUUUGUCAAAUUUGAUUAGGUUUUCUUCACUGAUGUGAAGGAAAAGCAAAUUAACAGAAAAUGAUUUACUUUUUCAUGUGAGAGUGACUUUUUGUCUGUUCCUGGUUUUUCUGAAUUUUCCUCAUGUAUUAGGCUACAUAUCUCAAUAAAAAAACACCACUGAGACAUAUACUUACUUAUAUACUUAGAUUCUAUUCAUAGUUUAAUAAACUAUUUGAUAUAAAUAGUUAUUAACCCUUUAAUGAAAGGGAAUCAAUUAUUUAAUAUUAUAUGAAAGAAUGACAGAGUAGGUUUAAUUUAUUUGAUGUUCUAAUGUUUUGAUUAAUACACUCUGUAAAGUGCUUAGAGGAUACAUUAAUCCCACUUGACCACACCUUUCUUAGAAGCUUCCCACUGCGCUGGCCAAGAAACAUGUCAGACUAUAUGUUGCUGGGAUUUAAGUUUCUUUUCGACAGAGACCACUUUGAUUAGGUUUUUUAGGGGGGGGGGCAGCCUUACCCGGAAAUCCACAACCGACACAGCUAUGAAACCAGGAAGAAGACAGGUAAAAGCAAAAGCAAGGCUGUUGUUCAUAUAGUCUAGUUAUUUCUCUCUGCCGUAGAGACUGUUUACAUUUGCAACCUCACAGUUUCAUCGAACUUGUAUUUUCUCUUGCGCACAGGCAGCUGGGUCUCACAGGGAUUAAAGUAAAUGCGACUUGGGGCGCCACAUCCUGGGGAGGGGGGCGUCCUUAAACCUUAACGUUUUGAACGUAGCCCCCACUAUUAUGUCAAUAUGAAACCCUCAGACAGUUUGUUUACAGCCCGCUAGUUUUCUACUCCGCUCCACUUGAAACACGCUCUCUUUCACUCACUGCGCACAACAUGAAAAACGUUUUUUUCAUUUUACGUUUCAGAAAUAAACAUGGCUUUUAUUCUGGAUGUUUUUUUGUUUUUUUUCCAGAAAUGUCCAGUUUCAGUGGGAGAGAAGAGAAAGAUCCGCGUCCUCGAGUACACGUGGAAAUAACUCAGCUCUAUGAAUUCAAAUGGUCCACCACACAGUUGGGGAAAUGUCCAGUUUCAGUGGGAGAGAAGAGAAAGAUCCGCGUCCUCGAGUACACGUGGAAAUAACUCAGCUCUAUGAAUUCAAAUGGUCCACCACACAGUUGGGGUUUGGCUGAGAAAAAAUUACCUUGACCAGCCCACAAGAGGGGGAGCAGCACAAGCCAUAGCCAUGACCCAAGUGAAAGCAACUCCAGCUCCAGCAUGGGUUCCAGAGAACUUGAAGCUUCCCAUGGGUUUGCAGACAAC